AUGACCACAUCACCAACAUCAUCAUUACCACCAUCACCACAUCCCCACUGCCAUCAUUACCACCAUCACCAUAUCACCACCACCACCAUUACCUCCAUCACCACAUCUCCAACAUCAUUACCAUCACCACAUCUCCACCAACAUCAUUACCACCAUCACUACAUCAUCACCACCAUCACCACACCCCGACCAUCAUUACCACCAUUGCCACACCACCAUCACCGCCAUCAUUACCACCAUCACAUCACCUCCAUCAUUACCACAAUCACUACAUCAUCACCAUCAUCACCACCAUCACCACACCACCACCACCACCAUUACCACCAUCACCACAUCACCUCCAUCAUUACCACCAUCACUACAUCAUUACCAUCACCACACCACCACCACCAUCAUUACCACCAUCACCAUAUCCUCACCAACAUCAUUACCACCAUCAGAACAUCACCUACAUCAUUACCACCAUCACUACAUCAUCACCACCAUCAUUACCAUCAUCACUACAUCACCACCACCAUCAUUACCACCAUCACCACAUCACUGCCACCAUUACCACCAUCACAUCACCACCACCAUCAUUACCAUCAUCACCACAUCACCACCAUCACUACAUCACCAUCACAAUCACCACUAUCACAUCACCACCACCAUCAUUACCACCAUUACCAUCAUCACCACCACCAUCAUUACCAUCAUCACCACAUCAUCACCACAUCACCACCACCAUCACCACCAUCACUACAUCACCACCACAAUCACCACUAUCACAUCACCACCACCACCAUUACCACCAUCACACCACCACCACCAUCACCACAUCACCACCACAAUCACAUCACUAUCACCAUUACCACCAUCACCACAUCACCACACCAUCAUCACCACCAUCACCACAUCACCACCACCAUCAUUACCACCAUCACAUCACCACCACCAUUACCAUCAUUACCACAUCACCACCAUCACCAUAUCACCACCACCAUCAUUACCACCAUCACCACAUCACCACCAUCAUUACCACCAUCACUACAUCACCACCACCAUCAUUACUACCAUCACCACAUCAUCACAACCACCAUUACCAUCACAUCACCACCACCACCAUUACCAUCACAUCACCACCACCAUUACCACCAUCACCACAUAAUCACCAUCAUUACCACCAUCACAUCACCACCACUAUCAUCACAUCAUCACCACCAUUACCACCAUCACCACAUAAUCACCAUCAUUACCACCAUCACCACAUCACCACCAUUACCAUCACAUCACCACCAUUACCACCAUCAUAUCACCACCACCAUUACCAUCAUUACCACAUCACCAUCAUCACCAUAUCACCACCACCAUCAUUACCACCAUCACCACAUCACCACCACCAUUACCACCAUCACAUCACCACCAUCAUCAGUACCACCAUCACCAUAUCACCACCAUUAUCAUCACCACUAUCACCACCACUACCCUUAUGACCACAUCACUGCUACCAGUGGCCCUAGCCCCACCUCGUCAUCUCUGCUCCAAUCACCCCAGUCACCAUCACUUCCAUCACCAGGAUCCCCACCUCCCUUACAAUUAUACCAUCCAUUACCAUACUUACCACUGCAAGUGAUUUGUCAUUGUCACCAUCAUCAGUGUAGGAAGUGA
RNAcentral lists this long non-coding RNA (1647 nucleotides) under Callithrix jacchus (white-tufted-ear marmoset). Its description in RNAcentral is "lncRNA (ENSCJAG00000074960.1)". The record is from RNAcentral. Lineage: Eukaryota; Metazoa; Chordata; Mammalia; Primates; Cebidae.